CCUACGGGAGGCAGCAGUGGGGAAUAUUGCGCAAUGGGCGCAACUCUGACGCAGCAACGCCGCGUGAUUGAAGAAGGCCUUCUGGUUGUAAAGAUCCUUAAUUGGGGACGAAACAAAUGACGGUACUCAAAGAAUAAGCUUCGGCUAACUAAGUGCCAGCAGCCGCGGUAAUACGGAGGGCGCAAGCGUUAUCCGGAUUUACUGGUUGUAAAGGGUGAGUAGGUGGGCUGGCAAGUUGGGUGUGAAAUCCCGUGGCUUAACCCCGGAACUGCUUUCAAAACUGCUGGUCUUGAGUGAUGGAGCGGCAGGCGGAAUUCCGUGUGUAGCGGUGAAAUGCGUAGAUAUAC
This 347-nucleotide ribosomal RNA is filed under the name uncultured bacterium. Its description in RNAcentral is "partial 16S ribosomal RNA". It matches the Rfam family "Bacterial small subunit ribosomal RNA", at positions 338 to 699 of the family's 1533-position model. The record is from RNAcentral.